This 86-nucleotide transfer RNA is filed under the name Escherichia coli. RNAcentral's name for it is "tRNA-Tyr". It matches the Rfam family "tRNA". From Rfam's summary of the family: Transfer RNA (tRNA) molecules are approximately 80 nucleotides in length. Their secondary structure includes four short double-helical elements and three loops (D, anti-codon, and T loops). Further hydrogen bonds mediate the characteristic L-shaped molecular structure. tRNAs have two regions of fundamental functional importance: the anti-codon, which is responsible for specific mRNA codon recognition, and the 3' end, to which the tRNAs corresponding amino acid is attached (by aminoacyl-tRNA synthetases). tRNAs cope with the degeneracy of the genetic code in two manners: having more than one tRNA (with a specific anti-codon) for a particular amino acid; and 'wobble' base-pairing, i.e. permitting non-standard base-pairing at the 3rd anti-codon position. Lineage: Bacteria; Pseudomonadati; Pseudomonadota; Gammaproteobacteria; Enterobacterales; Enterobacteriaceae. The record is from RNAcentral.
CGUGGUGGGGUUCCCGAGCGGCCAAAGGGAGCAGACUGUAAAUCUGCCGUCAUCGACUUCGAAGGUUCGAAUCCUUCCCCGCAUGG